UACGUAGGGGGCAAGCGUUGUCCGGAUUCACUGGGUUUAAAGGGUGCGUAGGCGGGUUGGUAAGUCCGUGGUGAAAUCUCCGAGCUUAACUCGGAAACUGCCGUGGAUACUAUCAAUCUUGAAUACUGUGGAGGUAAGCGGAAUAUGUCAUGUAGCGGUGAAAUGCUUAGAUAUGACAUAGAACAUCGAUAGCGGAGGCAGCUUGCUACACAGUCAUUGACACUGAGGCAGGAAAGCGUGGGGAUCAAACAGG
This 253-nucleotide ribosomal RNA is filed under the name uncultured bacterium. RNAcentral's name for it is "partial 16S ribosomal RNA". It matches the Rfam family "Bacterial small subunit ribosomal RNA", at positions 524 to 776 of the family's 1533-position model. The record is from RNAcentral.